UCCCUGGUAGUAUAUCGGUUAGUACACGCGCCUGUCAUACUAGGCUGAGUGGCGCGCGAAAGCUGGGUUCGACUCCCAGCCAGGGAG
Non-coding RNA from Lentinula aff. detonsa, 87 nucleotides. The record is from the annotation of a GenBank genome assembly. NCBI's taxonomy places the organism in Eukaryota, Fungi, Basidiomycota, Agaricomycetes, Agaricales, Omphalotaceae.